Molecule: long non-coding RNA, 954 nt
Filed under: Melopsittacus undulatus (budgerigar)
Lineage: Eukaryota; Metazoa; Chordata; Aves; Psittaciformes; Psittaculidae
Description: lncRNA (ENSMUNG00000004988.2)
Source: RNAcentral
AGCUGCAGGAGAAAACCUCUGUGUGUGUGUUCUGAGGAAACUUAUUAAUUAAAUAUAAUAAUAUUUAAUUAUCUAAGUAAUAAGUGGCUUGGAGCUACAGGAGUCUGAUGAAGCCUAUGCAAGAGGCUGAGUAGGCUGGUGUGCUCAGGGUGCAGGAGGGAGAAAGAGACUCUACAAGGCUCAGAGUAUUUUCUGAAAAAGUCCUGCAGUGCAGAGGAGUCAAACAUUUGAUCACAUGCAGCAGCACAAGAUAGAUGGAGUACAGCUGACUCAACAGCUACAGGGGAUUUGGAAUGGAAACAAUCACUUGCUUGAAGGAAACAAUGUUAUCCAACUUGUGGUGUCAGUCAGCCUAUUCCCACAGUCACUGCAUUGAUGGAGGAAAAUUUUGUUUAUAAAGAAGGGGGAGAUGUGUGGAAUCCUGCACAAGAAGCUGCACCAGUAGACUUGGACGAGAGCCCAGACAUCUGGACUCUUAUCAGCCACAAACCCUGGGAGAAGUGAGCGGGACAAGUCGGGAAGAACAGGAAAAAGAACAUCAGGUGGAACCGAAGAAAGAGCAUAAAGGUAAUUUCUGAGGACUGUACAUUUGGAAACAGCAGGAUGCUUAGGCAAGAUAAAGAAUGUGUAGUCAAGGGGAAGUGGAAAUGACAAUGCGGCGAGUAGUGAUAGCAGAGAACUAUGUUUAGAAAUAAUUACUCAAGCAAAGGCGUGUUGACAGUAAUGUGAUUGGCUGGAAGAGUGCGUGAUCAGUAAGACUUUUUUGUGAUCAAAAAGUAGCAAAAGAAUUAACUGCUGCUAAGCACUAGGCAGAAUACUAUAAAAACCUGUAAGCUCACUCAAUAAAGGAUUUUGUUUGUAGCCAGAAAUGGAAUCUAUGCCUCAGCUGACACAAGAUCAGGCAUGGCAACGGAUGCCAUCCCAUUGAAAGGACGACCCGUGUGCAGUAGGGAC